GCGUGAGACAGAGAUAUGGAAGAGAUGGAGGAAGGUCUGUGUAGCUGAAUUGACUUGGGAUGCAGAGAGGGGCCUGGAGACAGAGAUAGUUCUCUUGGUCAGUUGCCAGAGAGUUCAGGAUGAAUUAAGGAUGUCCGAUGUCAUCGUGGACACGGCGCCCAACGGAGCCAUCCAGCUUCUGAAAGAGAAAUGUUGGAAGUUGAACUUCUUGCAUCUAAAGGAUGAGACAUGCCAGGCCACUGAGCUCACUGAGCUGUAUGGACAUUCUGAGACCUCUUCAAAGGAAACUCUAAUUGACGAGAAAAGUCCAAAGACCAAGUGCCCGGCCAGUGUCGCUG
Salmo salar (Atlantic salmon) is the source of this 338-nucleotide non-coding RNA. NCBI's taxonomy places the organism in Eukaryota, Metazoa, Chordata, Actinopteri, Salmoniformes, Salmonidae. The record is from RefSeq and is a predicted model, not a curated record.